UAAAGAAUUUCGGUCAUCGAUGGGGAUGCGUUCCAUUAGCUUGUUGGCGGGGUAACGGCCCACCAAGGCAUCGAUGGAUAGGGGUUCUGAGAGGAAGGUCCCCCACAUUGGAACUGAGACACGGUCCAAACUCCUACGGGAGGCAGCAGUGAGGAAUAUUGGUCAAUGGGCGCUAGCCUGAACCAGCCAAGUAGCGUGAAGGAUGACUGCCCUAUGGGUUGUAAACUUCUUUUAUAUGGGAAUAAAGUGCAGUAUGUAUACUGCUUUGCAUGUACCUUAUGAAUAAGGAUCGGCUAACUCCGUGCCAGCAGCCGCGGUAAUACGGAGGAUCCGAGCGUUAUCCGGAUUUAUUGGGUUUAAAGGGAGCGUAGGCGGGUUGUUAAGUCAGUUGUGAAAGUUUGCGGCUCAACCGUAAAAUUGCAGUUGAUACUGGCAUCCUUGAGUACAGUAGAGGUAGGCGGAAUUCGUGGUGUAGCGGUGAAAUGCUUAGAUAUCACGAAGAACUCCGAUUGCGAAGGCAGCCUGCUGGACUGUAACUGACGCUGAUGCUCGAAAGUGUGGGUAUCAAACAGGAUUAGAUACCCUGGUAGUCCACACAG
RNAcentral lists this ribosomal RNA (599 nucleotides) under uncultured bacterium. RNAcentral's name for it is "bacterial SSU rRNA". It matches the Rfam family "Bacterial small subunit ribosomal RNA", at positions 202 to 802 of the family's 1533-position model. The record is from RNAcentral.